GUUUAAAAUCAAUUCUCAUAUGUAUGUAUGCAAUUUUUAGCAGCCUUUUGACUUAAAAUACCGUUAGACAUAUCAGUCCAAACCAUCUAAUCCUUCAAAUUACUUGUUUCGGUUGGGAACGAGACAGCAAUUGAUCACCUUGAAUCCGCUCUUCACUUCACAGUUUGCUUGAUAAUAACUUUGAUACCGAACGGAGGUUACCUGCAAGUUAGCACUCCAACGCUCAAGUCAGCAAGGUCACCCCAAGCAAUUAUAUUCAAAAGUGUGUGUAACCACAUACCUGAGUUAUGCUCUCCUAUUUAUAGACAAAUGGUUCCAUCAAAAUAGGAGCCAUGUUAGACUAAGUCCAACUUCCCCUCCACUUCUUCCGUCAAAUUAACUGCUUUAUGGUUAUGACUGCUUCUAACUCCUAGAUUCUUGCGCCGCAACAUCCGCACCUUAUCUCCACUAUCUGCAAUAUUCGCACUCUUAUCUCCAAUAACUACUCUCAGUUACCACUAAACUUACUCUGUUUCCCUACCGGUAUAGGACCUCUCCCGGUCGUCCUGGUGUUGUGCCCGAUCAACUCAACUCUUUCCUUACUAUAUAUCUUUUUCCCUAUCAGUAUAGGGACUCUCCCGAUCAUCCUGGUGUUGUCCCCGAUCGAUCCUAGCUCCCUCCUUACUACAUAAGCCCCCC
This 678-nucleotide long non-coding RNA is filed under the name Vigna radiata. Its description in RNAcentral is "long non-coding RNA (VRAD_LNC005455)". Lineage: Eukaryota; Viridiplantae; Streptophyta; Magnoliopsida; Fabales; Fabaceae. The record is from RNAcentral.